Molecule: transfer RNA, 16 nt
Filed under: Stenomacra marginella
Lineage: Eukaryota; Metazoa; Arthropoda; Insecta; Hemiptera; Largidae
Also listed under: 1 other name
Description: partial tRNA-Leu
Source: RNAcentral
UCUAAUAUGGCAGAUA